AUUGAACGCUGGCGGCAUGCCUUACACAUGCAAGUCGAACGGUAACAGGUUAAGCUGACGAGUGGCGAACGGGUGAGUAAUAUAUCGGAACGUGCCCAGUCGUGGGGGAUAACUGCUCGAAAGAGCAGCUAAUACCGCAUACGACCUGAGGGUGAAAGCGGGGGAUCGCAAGACCUCGCGCGAUUGGAGCGGCCGAUAUCAGAUUAGGUAGUUGGUGGGGUAAAGGCCCACCAAGCCAACGAUCUGUAGCUGGUCUGAGAGGACGACCAGCCACACUGGGACUGAGACACGGCCCAGACUCCUACGGGAGGCAGCAGUGGGGAAUUUUGGACAAUGGGCGCAAGCCUGAUCCAGCCAUGCCGCGUGCGGGAAGAAGGCCUUCGGGUUGUAAACCGCUUUUGUCAGGGAAGAAAAGGUUCUGGUUAAUACCUGGGACUCAUGACGGUACCUGAAGAAUAAGCACCGGCUAACUACGUGC
RNAcentral lists this ribosomal RNA (478 nucleotides) under uncultured bacterium. RNAcentral's name for it is "bacterial SSU rRNA". It matches the Rfam family "Bacterial small subunit ribosomal RNA", at positions 30 to 508 of the family's 1533-position model. The record is from RNAcentral.